CCUACGGGGAGCUGCAGUCGAGAAUCAUUCACAAUGGGGGAAACCCUGAUGGUGCGACGCCGCGUGGGGGAAUGAAGGUCUUCGGAUUGUAAACCUCUUUUGUCGGGGAGCAAAGCGAACCACGUGUGGUUCAUUGAGAGUACCCGAAGAAAAAGCAUCGGCUAACUCCGUGCCAGCAGCCGCGGUAAUACGGAGGAUGCGAGCGUUAUCCGGAUUUAUUGGGUUUAAAGGGUGCGCAGGCGGAGGUGCAAGUCAGCGGUCAAAUUGCGGGGCUCAACCCCGUACUGCCGUUGAAACUGCAUCCCUUGAGUGCGCGAGAAGUAUGCGGAAUGCGUGGUGUAGCGGUGAAAUGCAUAGAUAUCACGCAGAACCCCGAUUGCGAAGGCAGCAUGCCGGCUUCCGACUGACGCUGAAGCACGAAAGCGUGGGGAUCGAACAGGAUUAGAUACCCGAGUAGUC
RNAcentral lists this ribosomal RNA (459 nucleotides) under uncultured bacterium. RNAcentral describes it as "partial 16S ribosomal RNA". It matches the Rfam family "Bacterial small subunit ribosomal RNA", at positions 338 to 795 of the family's 1533-position model. The record is from RNAcentral.